CAACUGACCAAUAAUGACACAACCAACUGGAAGUAAGCUAUGUUAGAAGAUUUUCAGAUCCAGAAUAUUCAAAAUUACUUGAAAACUCACCAGAGAUAAGUAGCAAGAGCAGCUUGGUCCUGAGUCAUCUUUGGGGAAGGAUUAAAACAAAACAAAUCUCUUACUAAAGGAUAAACAUUGUUCUCAUGGAAACCAGCAGAAAAGAUAAUGUCAAGUUACAUGACAUUCUGUCACAAAGAGUAUUGGACUGAGCUGGAGUAACAGAGAAGUGUGGCCUUGGCAGCAGCAAUGAAGAGAAGAAAGGGUCCAAGUGAUGAGGAAGGAGGAAGAGGAGAAGGAUGAGGAAGAAGAAAAGGAGGAAGA
Molecule: long non-coding RNA, 363 nt
Organism: Mastomys coucha (southern multimammate mouse)
Lineage: Eukaryota; Metazoa; Chordata; Mammalia; Rodentia; Muridae
Exons: 3
Source: RefSeq, a predicted model, not a curated record